CGCAUCCAUGUAACUGCCGAUGCAGUGAUGGGGUGCAAUACAGAAAGAAAAUAAUAGUAGUACACAACAGGAGUGCUCUGUUGCGUCUUAUCACUCUUUAGCGGUUAAUGUUCCGCUGGGCAAGGUGCGAAGCAGUUGAGCCUAGCCCUUGCUAGCGUGUGACGAUGAGUAUUCAUGGUUACUGCUAAUUUGGGCCUGUAGCUCAGCCGGUUAGAGCACUGUGCUGAUAACGCAGGGGUCAGUGGUUCGAGUCCACUCAGGCCCGCUGGUCAAUCGAGCAACAUGGAUUGACCUGCCUGGUACGUUAAAAACUGAAUAGGAUUAGGACAUCUUCAAACAAUGAUUCUUAGGUUAAGCUACUAAGAGCGUACGGUGGAUGCCUUGGC
This 386-nucleotide unclassified non-coding RNA is filed under the name uncultured bacterium. Its description in RNAcentral is "partial 16S-23S ribosomal RNA intergenic spacer". The stretch from base 192 to 265 matches the Rfam family "tRNA". The record is from RNAcentral.